RNAcentral lists this long non-coding RNA (414 nucleotides) under Heterocephalus glaber (naked mole-rat). Its description in RNAcentral is "lncRNA (ENSHGLG00000037429.1)". The record is from RNAcentral. Lineage: Eukaryota; Metazoa; Chordata; Mammalia; Rodentia; Bathyergidae.
CUCAUUGCAGUUGCUAUGCUUUGAUAAUGUUCUACAGUCCCCAUGGAACCAUUCUCUGCUCUUCUAGGCAUGGUGAGGACGUUUUAAAGGACCUUGGCCAUUCUGCAGCACAAUGAAUGUCACCACCUUUGAAUCAGGAUAGACAAGAAAGAAGAGUACCGCAAAGGAGAAAAGAAGAAAGAAAACCAUUGUGCACUGAUUAUUUUCAUUUAUCUUGUUUCUGCUCUGAGCUAAUCUGGACACUGGACAGGACCAGCCAGCCUCCCCUGCCUGUGUCUCCUAACCUUUAACAUUUCAUAAAAUCUUCCAAUCCUUCAGAAAGAAGCCCCGCCCCAUACACAUGCGCAUGUGCACACAGGCACAUCCUCAGACGCCAGGUCCAUGGGCCACAGGUUAAGAGAGAACCUCCCUAAG